RNAcentral lists this ribosomal RNA (468 nucleotides) under uncultured bacterium. RNAcentral describes it as "partial 16S ribosomal RNA". It matches the Rfam family "Bacterial small subunit ribosomal RNA", at positions 28 to 507 of the family's 1533-position model. The record is from RNAcentral.
GACGAACGCUGGCGGCGUGCUUAACACAUGCAAGUCGAACGGAAGGGCCCUGCUUUUGUGGGGUGCUCGAGUGGCGAACGGGUGAGUAACACGUGAGUAACCUGCCCUUGACUUUGGGAUAACUUCAGGAAACUGGGGCUAAUACCGGAUAGGAGCUCCUGCUGCAUGUUGGGGGUUGGAAAGUUUCGGCGGUUGGGGAUGGACUCGCGGCUUAUCAGCUUGUUGGUGUGGUAGUUGCUUACCAAGGCUUUGACGGGUAGCCGGCCUGAGAGGGUGACCGGCGACAUUGGGACUGAGAGACGGCGCAGACUCCUACGUGAGGCAGCAGUGGAGAAUAUUGCACAAUGGGCGGAAGCCAGAUGCAGCAACGCCGCGUGCGGGAUGACGGGUUUUGGGUUGUAAACCGCUUUCGCCUGUGACGAAGCGUGAGUGACGGUAAUGGGUAAAGAAGCACCGGCUAACUACGUG